Molecule: ribosomal RNA, 586 nt
Filed under: Kiritimatiellia bacterium
Lineage: Bacteria; Pseudomonadati; Kiritimatiellota; Kiritimatiellia
Description: partial 23S ribosomal RNA
Rfam family: Archaeal large subunit ribosomal RNA
Source: RNAcentral
AAUAAGCUUAGUUACACCGUUUGGUGGAUGGCUUGGCUUGAGAAACCGAGGAAGGUCGUGGCAAGCUGCGAUAUGCUCAGGGGAGGCGCACGCAUCCUUUGAUCCUGAGAUUACCUAAUGGGACUUCCUUCAUUCUUCGGAAUGACAUCACUUCGUGAUGGGGAACCCGGUGAACUGAAACAUCUUAGUAACCGGAGGAAAAGAUAUCAAUUGAUAUGCCGUGAGUAAUGGCGAACGAAAGCGGUAUAGGGCAAACCGAAUCCGUGCAGGUGACUGUAUGGAGAUGUGGCUGACUAGUGUACUGGUCUGAGAGUUUUGGCGAAGUUUUUUGGAACAUUAUGCCAAAGAGGGUGAUAGCCCCGUAGUUAAAACUUGAAGAGUAGAUUGCUAGCAUCGAGAGUAGCGUGUUUUGAAAGUAGCGCGUGAAUACAGGGGACAGUAACCUCUAACCCUAAACAUUUCUCAAGACCGAUAGCGAAUUAGUAGCGUGAGUGAAUGCUGAAAAGAUCCCGUACAAGGGAGUGAAAAGAUCCUAAAAUCAAAAGGUUACAGUUAGUAGCGGCACUAAGGUGUUGCUACGUUCGUU